GAUGAACGCUGGCGGCGUGCUUAACACAUGCAAGUCGAACGGAAAGGCUCCUGCUUGCGGGGGUACUCGAGUGGCGAACGGGUGAGUAACACGUGGGUGAUCUGCCCUGCACUUCGGGAUAAGCCUGGGAAACUGGGACUAAUACCGGAUAGGACGAUGGUCUGAAUGCCAUUGUGGAAAGUUUUUCGGUGUGGGAUGGGCUCGCGGCCUAUCAGCUUGUUGGUGGGGUAAUGGCCUACCACGGCGUCGACGGGUAGCCGGCCUGAGAGGGUGUACGGCCACAUUGGGACUGAGAUACGGCCCAGACUCCUACGGGAGGCAGCAGUGGGGAAUAGUGCACAAUGGGCGCAAGCCUGAUGCAGCGACGCCGCGUGGGGGAUGACGGCCUUCGGGUUGUAAACUCCUUUCGCUAGGGACGAAGCGCAAGUGACGGUACCUGGAGAAGAAGCACCGGCUAACUACGUG
This 465-nucleotide ribosomal RNA is filed under the name uncultured bacterium. RNAcentral's name for it is "partial 16S ribosomal RNA". It matches the Rfam family "Bacterial small subunit ribosomal RNA", at positions 28 to 507 of the family's 1533-position model. The record is from RNAcentral.